ACCGAGCUUGAUGUACUGUAAUAGUGAAUAACGAUACAAAGUUUGACUCGUAUAGGGAGGAGCUUAACUUUUACAAGGAGGAGCUCUGAAGUGUCUUAUCGAGAAAAGUAGGCAAUAUGUGAAGUUAUAUUAUUAUGGUCAAAGAUUGGCUUUCCAUAAAGAAAAGUAAUCUUUACUAUAAAUAUCAUUUUUUAUCAUUAGUAAGUUCAGGCAACCGAAAAUUUCCAGGGUAAAAUAAAUGUUGAAAGACCCAAAAAAUAGGCGACAACAGCCGUUGAUACCAAGUUGGACUAGGUUUGUCGGUAGUGUAUUUAUCAGCAACCUUGGCCAUAACAGCUAUACUAUUCACUGGAUACCCAAAAUUUUGGUUAUUUUUUUGAAUAAGCAUUAAGCAGCGACCUAGCAUUAACAGCUCUUUCGGUAAACGAGUGCAGUCCUGUAAGAAGCCAAUGAACUUUUUGCGUUCAGCAAGCUGCUGUUGGAAGGCCUCUUUCUUUGAAAUAAUUUUUUCACCAGUGUGAGGUUGCUCUUCAUCCAUUGGAAUAUUUAACAUGCGGUUAGCAAAAAGCUCAGGUUGUCCAAUCCCCCAAGCAUCCAUUACCUGAAGAAUAGAUUUUUUGUCUAAUGAAUAGGCUGCAGUGAAAAGCAAGGCAAAUUCUUUUCUAAACUUUUCUGAUUCAAAUACAUAUAACCCAUGAUCCAAAAUUACCGUUUGACACAAGCCUGCUUGAUUUUUUCGAACAAGGAUAUUUCCAGGAUGUGGAUCACAAUGAACUUGUUUCGAAUGAAACAUUUGGAAGGCAAGGAAUCUGAAAAGGUUCGUUAAAAUUUCCUUUUUGCUCAUCCCAGCUUCAGAAAGAGCAGUUUGAUCAUAGAGGGGAAUGCCAUCAGCCCAUUCAGUAACCAUUACUCGCUUUCCAGAAAUCUCUUUAUAAACCUUUGGUAUAUAUAUCUUAUCUCUUAAAUAAUCAGUUUCUUCUACCC
Molecule: non-coding RNA, 984 nt
Organism: Schizosaccharomyces pombe (fission yeast)
Lineage: Eukaryota; Fungi; Ascomycota; Schizosaccharomycetes; Schizosaccharomycetales; Schizosaccharomycetaceae
Source: the annotation of a GenBank genome assembly